Molecule: unclassified non-coding RNA, 477 nt
Filed under: Hevea brasiliensis (rubber tree)
Lineage: Eukaryota; Viridiplantae; Streptophyta; Magnoliopsida; Malpighiales; Euphorbiaceae
Source: RNAcentral
GUGCAUUAUAGGUCUGCCAUGUAACAGUUGGCAUCAGAGCUUGAAAUGGAUGGCCAGAUUUCUUCUGCCCAUCUUUCUAUUACUCUUCUUCUUACUUUCUUGAAUUGCUUCUUUCUUUCUUGAAACUCUUGAAAUUCCAGAAAAUAUCUGAAAUAACAAUCUUUCUACUCUCCCUUUCUCUCUUUCCUCGCAAAUACUCCUUUCUUUUUUUUCUAACUUCUUUCAAUCUCUUUUUCCUUUCAUUUCUGCUCUGUUAGGAUUCCAAAACCCUAAUAUUCGAAAUUCCAACAAAUAUCAAAAAUCAAUACAACAAUUAUCAUUCUACUUCUUCUAUUUUCUCUGAUUCUUCCUUCAAUUAUGUUUCUCUUUUCAACUAAUCUUUUUCUUAGAUUUAUCUUUUAGGGUUUCCAUUUCCAUUUCUCUAUCAAACCUCUGUUGCAGAAUUGUUGGAGCAUCCAUGGAACUACAACCUUGGCA